Molecule: ribosomal RNA, 441 nt
Filed under: uncultured bacterium
Lineage: Bacteria
Description: partial 16S ribosomal RNA
Rfam family: Bacterial small subunit ribosomal RNA
Source: RNAcentral
CUACGGGUGGCAGCAGUGGGGAAUAUUGCACAAUGGGCGAAAGCCUGAUGCAGCGACGCCGCGUGAGUGAUGAAGGUCUUCGGAUUGUAAAGCUCUGUUCUUGGGGAAGAAUAAAUGACGGUACCCAAGGAGAAAGCCCCGGCUAACAUACGUGCCAGCAGCCGCGGUAAUACGUAGGGGGCAAGCGUUAUCCGGAAUCACUGGGCGUAAAGGGUGCGUAGGCGGCUUAGCAAGUCAGAAGUGAAAGGCAUUGGCUCAACCAAUGUAAGCUUUUGAAACUGUUAGGCUUGAGUGCAGGAGAGGAAAGUGGAAUUCCUAGUGUAGCAGUGAAAUGCGUAGAUAUUAGGAGGAACACCAGUGGCGAAGGCGACUUUCUGGACUGUAACUGACGCUGAGGCACGAAAGCGUGGGGAGCGAACAGGAUUAGAUACCCGCGUAGUC